UACGUAGGGUGCGAGCGUUGUCCGGAAUUACUGGGCGUAAAGAGCUCGUAGGCGGUUUGUCGCGUCUGCUGUGAAGACGCGAGGCUCAACCUCGCGCCUGCAGUGGGUACGGGCAGACUAGAGUGCGGUAGGGGAGAUUGGAAUUCCUGGUGUAGCGGUGGAAUGCGCAGAUAUCAGGAGGAACACCGAUGGCGAAGGCAGAUCUCUGGGCCGUAACUGACGCUGAGGAGCGAAAGCGUGGGGAGCGAACAGG
RNAcentral lists this ribosomal RNA (253 nucleotides) under uncultured bacterium. RNAcentral's name for it is "partial 16S ribosomal RNA". It matches the Rfam family "Bacterial small subunit ribosomal RNA", at positions 524 to 776 of the family's 1533-position model. The record is from RNAcentral.